RNAcentral lists this ribosomal RNA (1358 nucleotides) under Escherichia coli. RNAcentral's name for it is "bacterial LSU rRNA". It matches the Rfam family "Bacterial large subunit ribosomal RNA", at positions 1593 to 2925 of the family's 2925-position model. The record is from RNAcentral. RNAcentral also lists the same sequence under 3 other names. Lineage: Bacteria; Pseudomonadati; Pseudomonadota; Gammaproteobacteria; Enterobacterales; Enterobacteriaceae.
ACAAAUGCCCUGCUUCCAGGAAAAGCCUCUAAGCAUCAGGUAACAUCAAAUCGUACCCCAAACCGACACAGGUGGUCAGGUAGAGAAUACCAAGGCGCUUGAGAGAACUCGGGUGAAGGAACUAGGCAAAAUGGUGCCGUAACUUCGGGAGAAGGCACGCUGAUAUGUAGGUGAAGCGACUUGCUCGUGGAGCUGAAAUCAGUCGAAGAUACCAGCUGGCUGCAACUGUUUAUUAAAAACACAGCACUGUGCAAACACGAAAGUGGACGUAUACGGUGUGACGCCUGCCCGGUGCCGGAAGGUUAAUUGAUGGGGUUAGCGGCAACGCGAAGCUCUUGAUCGAAGCCCCGGUAAACGGCGGCCGUAACUAUAACGGUCCUAAGGUAGCGAAAUUCCUUGUCGGGUAAGUUCCGACCUGCACGAAUGGCGUAAUGAUGGCCAGGCUGUCUCCACCCGAGACUCAGUGAAAUUGAACUCGCUGUGAAGAUGCAGUGUACCCGCGGCAAGACGGAAAGACCCCGUGAACCUUUACUAUAGCUUGACACUGAACAUUGAGCCUUGAUGUGUAGGAUAGGUGGGAGGCUUUGAAGUGUGGACGCCAGUCUGCAUGGAGCCGACCUUGAAAUACCACCCUUUAAUGUUUGAUGUUCUAACGUUGGCCCGUAAUCCGGGUUGCGGACAGUGUCUGGUGGGUAGUUUGACUGGGGCGGUCUCCUCCUAAAGAGUAACGGAGGAGCACGAAGGUUGGCUAAUCCUGGUCGGACAUCAGGAGGUUAGUGCAAUGGCAUAAGCCAGCUUGACUGCGAGCGUGACGGCGCGAGCAGGUGCGAAAGCAGGUCAUAGUGAUCCGGUGGUUCUGAAUGGAAGGGCCAUCGCUCAACGGAUAAAAGGUACUCCGGGGAUAACAGGCUGAUACCGCCCAAGAGUUCAUAUCGACGGCGGUGUUUGGCACCUCGAUGUCGGCUCAUCACAUCCUGGGGCUGAAGUAGGUCCCAAGGGUAUGGCUGUUCGCCAUUUAAAGUGGUACGCGAGCUGGGUUUAGAACGUCGUGAGACAGUUCGGUCCCUAUCUGCCGUGGGCGCUGGAGAACUGAGGGGGGCUGCUCCUAGUACGAGAGGACCGGAGUGGACGCAUCACUGGUGUUCGGGUUGUCAUGCCAAUGGCACUGCCCGGUAGCUAAAUGCGGAAGAGAUAAGUGCUGAAAGCAUCUAAGCACGAAACUUGCCCCGAGAUGAGUUCUCCCUGACUCCUUGAGAGUCCUGAAGGAACGUUGAAGACGACGACGUUGAUAGGCCGGGUGUGUAAGCGCAGCGAUGCGUUGAGCUAACCGGUACUAAUGAACCGUGAGGCUUAACCUU